RNAcentral lists this long non-coding RNA (206 nucleotides) under Homo sapiens (human). RNAcentral describes it as "HSALNT0217814". The record is from RNAcentral. Lineage: Eukaryota; Metazoa; Chordata; Mammalia; Primates; Hominidae.
CAGCAACUCAUUUGAGACAGAAUCCAAAUGAGGUGAGAUGUAACUUCAUGAAUAGAAUGAGAGGGCUACUCUGCAGAGGAAAUGGAAUGGGUAACACACCAGCAGACUGGAGGAAUUGCUGCCAACACUUUACAGGCAAGACCAUCAAAGAUGGAAAAUGAAUUCUCUAAUUCUUCCCAUUAACAUUCAAACUGCAACCUUUAGAG